GAUGAACGCUGGCGGCGUGCCUAAUACAUGCAAGUCGAGCGAACAGACGAGGAGCUUGCUCCUCUGACGUUAGCGGCGGACGUGUGAGUAACACGUGGAUAACCUACCUAUAAGACUGGGAUAACUUCGGGAAACCGGAGCUAAUACCGGAUAAUAUAUUGAACCGCAUGGUUCAAUAGUGAAAGACGGUUUUGCUGUCACUUAUAGAUGGAUCCGCGCCGCAUUAGCUAGUUGGUAAGGUAACGGCUUACCAAGGCAACGAUGCGUAGCCGACCUGAGAGGGGGAUAGGCCACACUGGAACUGAGACACGGUCCAGACUCCUAAGGGAGGCAGCAGUAGGGAAUCUUCCGCAAUGGGCGAAAGCCUGACGGAGCAACGCCGAGUGAGUGAUGAAGGUCUUCGGAUCGUAAAACUCUGUUAUUAGGGAAGAACAAAUGUGUAAGUAACUAUGCACGUCUUGACGGUACCUAAUCAGAAAGCCACGGCUAACUACGUG
Molecule: ribosomal RNA, 497 nt
Filed under: uncultured bacterium
Lineage: Bacteria
Description: partial 16S ribosomal RNA
Rfam family: Bacterial small subunit ribosomal RNA
Source: RNAcentral